AUUCUGAUGACUUUCCAUUUUCAAAAACAAAAGAACUCUCAACAGCAAAUGCUUCUUUCUCGGGAUAAUUAAAUGAUAUUCCAUUCUCUAAAUUCUUCAUGACUUCUGAAGUGAAUUUUUCAGAUUUCAUUUCAUGCACACCAGAUUCAUCAUUAACACUUGCUUGUGUUUCUACUUCAUGAUUGAUAUUUGUUCCAAUACCGACAUUUUCAGUAUGAAUCGGGCCUAUCUUAUCUCUAGGAUUUCUCCUCUUUGAAGAUUUCCUUUUAAAUCGAGCUUUCUAGUAUUUGAAUUUUCAUCGGCUAUAGAAACAGAUUCUGCAACCCUUUUUCUAC
Molecule: long non-coding RNA, 335 nt
Filed under: Phaseolus vulgaris (common bean)
Lineage: Eukaryota; Viridiplantae; Streptophyta; Magnoliopsida; Fabales; Fabaceae
Description: long non-coding RNA (PVUL_LNC001240)
Source: RNAcentral